CAUCAAGGAAAUAAAGUAAAAUAUUUUCCCCCCAAAAUUCUACCUGAUAUCAUACCAAAAUAAGGGUAUUUUAGGAAUUUUCAAAUUUUAGGGUUUUUUCAAAUCUGCUCUAAUCGCACCAGGUUGUUCGUGUUGUGUCCUCGCGCACAGCCUUUGGCUUCCGCUGCUCCCCGCUCUGGUUCACGCAACCCGACUCGACCCUCUGGUCCGAUUGCACACACCCGGCUCCUCUGGUUCGCGCUGCCCCUCUGGUCUCUUUGUGCAUGGUGUCUGGUUCCGUUGCACACACCCGGCGCGUUUUUUUGUUCCGUCGCACACAUCCAACAUCUUUGGUUCUGUCGCGCACACCCGACACGAUUUCUUGGCUUAGUCGCACAAACCCGGCACUCUGGUUCACGUUGCUCCUCCAAAUCUUUCGCGCACGGUGUCCGGUUCCAUCACGCACAUCCUGAACUUUUUGGUUCACGCAUGACUACUGCUUUGCCCUGAGUUUCCAGCAAUGACACCUUUGUUCUUCCAGCUUCAAGCUUCUAAUUCAGCCUCUGUUUCUCUCUGGAUUUCUUGUUGCCAUCUGCUACUCCGUCCCAGCAGCCACUUCAGUACUUGUUUCCAGUAAUCUUCUCUAGUCUUGCAGCAAUUUUAGGCUUUGGUGGUGUUUAGGAGGUUUGUUCUCUCUCUGUGAUAUUCGAUAUUCAGUAUUAUUCUCGUGUUUCUAGUACUUAAACAUGACAGAAGCAAAGAAACUAAUUGUCCCUAAUUUUGACAACCCAUAAUUGCAAAUAAGUCCUAUAAAGCUUGAUGAAACUAAUUACCUUACUUGUUCAAGAUCUUAUUUACUAUUUAUCAAAGCCAGAAAAUUGCAAAGUUAUAUUACCAGUGAUGAGAAGAAAUCAGAUGUCAGUAGUUUGGAAUAUCAUAGAUGGGACUUCGAGAACUCCUUGGUAAUAUCUUGAUUCAUCAAUUCCAUGCAACCUCACAUUACCCAAACAUACAUGUUACUCGAUAUUGCAGCAAAAAUAUGGAAUGCAACAUCUCUUACACAUUCACAAAUGGGUAAUAAUGCUCAAAUUUAUGAAUUCCGAAAUAAGAUCCACAGCACAAAAUAAGGAGAGUUGACUAUCUCUCAGUAUUUUUCUGAACUUAGUGGACUAUGGUAGGAAUUCGAUUACCAUCAAGAUUUUCAGGCAGAUUGUCCCAGGGAUGCUGUCAAAUUUCAGAAAAUAAUAGAAAAUGAGCAGAUUUAUGAUUUCUUGGCUGGUCUAAAUGUCGAAUAUGAUCAGAUACCGGUUCAGGUACUUGGUUAAUUGCUCAGUCUGAUCACUCCAAAAACCAACAGAAUUGUGAUUAUUAUGGCAAACUGAGACAUACUAAGGAGACUUGUUGGAAAUUGCAUGGACGACCCACCAACAGUCGUAGGGGAAGGAAAGAUAGACCUAUGAGAGCUCAAACAAACUUGGUUAAGGCAAGUGAAACAGCUGACACACCAACAGUUGGAACUUUUUCAACUGAAGAUAUUCAAAGCUUGAAGCAUAUUCUGUUUCAACUCAACUCUUCAACGACUAUAGGUGCAUCAAAUAUGGAUCUUCGAACGGGGAAGAUGAUUGACACUGGUAGAUUGUAGGAUAACUUAUAUGUCUUGAAAAGAAGUCAGAAUCUAAUUGCGAAUCAAGCUACUAUUGAGAAUAAGGAAGACAAUCUUGAAAUACUACAAUGGCACCUGCGAUUGGCCCACCCUUUCUUUUUGGCUUUAGAAAAACUUUAUCCUACUUUAUUUAGGAAAAUUUCUUUGGAUGCUUUAUGUUGUGAUGCAUGUGAAUUUGCUAAACAUAAAAGAAGUUCUUAUCAUUUGAGUAAUAGCAGAAGUUCUAUUCUUUUUAUGACUAUUCACUCUGAUGUGUGGAGACCGACUCAGAAUACCUCUCUAUUUGGUCAUCAAUGCUUUAUUUUUUUUAUUGACUGUUGUACUCGAUUAACAUAGAUUUAC
Carica papaya (papaya) is the source of this 1984-nucleotide long non-coding RNA. RefSeq lists it as uncharacterized. Lineage: Eukaryota; Viridiplantae; Streptophyta; Magnoliopsida; Brassicales; Caricaceae. The record is from RefSeq and is a predicted model, not a curated record.